Molecule: ribosomal RNA, 227 nt
Filed under: uncultured Pseudomonadales bacterium
Lineage: Bacteria; Pseudomonadati; Pseudomonadota; Gammaproteobacteria; Pseudomonadales
Description: partial 16S ribosomal RNA
Rfam family: Bacterial small subunit ribosomal RNA
Source: RNAcentral
GGGCGAGUAAUGCCUAGGAAUCUGCCUGGUAGUGGGGGACAACGUUUCGAAAGGAACGCUAAUACCGCAUACGUCCUACGGGAGAAAGCAGGGGACCUUCGGGCCUUGCGCUAUCAGAUGAGCCUAGGUCGGAUUAGCUAGUUGGUGAGGUAAUGGCUCACCAAGGCGACGAUCCGUAACUGGUCUGAGAGGAUGAUCAGUCACACUGGAACUGAGACACGGUCCAG